RNAcentral lists this unclassified non-coding RNA (699 nucleotides) under Hevea brasiliensis (rubber tree). Lineage: Eukaryota; Viridiplantae; Streptophyta; Magnoliopsida; Malpighiales; Euphorbiaceae. The record is from RNAcentral.
UAUUUUGUUAUGUGGGGUUCCUCCCUUUUGGGCUGAAUCUGAACAAGGUGUUGCCCAAGCCAUUUUACGUGGGGCAAUUGAUUUCAAACGGGAACCCUGGCCUAGUAUUUCAGAAGGUGCUAAAAAUCUUGUCAGGCAAAUGUUAGAGGCAGAUCCAAAGCUUCGACUGUCUGCAAAGCAAGUACUUGAACACCCUUGGCUUCAAAAUGCUAAGAAGGCUCCAAAUGUCCCACUUGGAGAUGUUGUGAAGUCAAGGCUUAAGCAGUUCUCAAUGAUGAAUAGGUUUAAGAGGAAAGCUCUGAGGGUAAUUGCUGAUUUCUUGUCUAAUGAAGAAGUUGGAGACCUCAAAGAAAUGUUUAACAAGAUAGACACUAAUAAUGAUGGCAUUGUUUCAGUCGAAGAACUUAAAGCAGGACUAAAGCUCAACUCCCAGCUGGCAGAAUCUGAAGUACAGAUGCUUAUUGAAGCCAUUGAUACUAAUGGCAAAGGGACCUUGGAUUAUGGGGAAUUUAUAGCCAUAUCCCUCCAUCUUCAAAGGAUGGCUAACGAUGAACAUUUGCACAAAGCUUUCUCCUAUUUUGACAAGGAUGGAAAUGGUUACAUCGAGCCGGAUGAGCUUCGGGAUGCCUUGAUGGAGGAUGGAGCAGAUGACUGCACCAAUGUCGCGAAUGACAUUUUCCAGGAGGUUGAUACAGACAA